GAUAGAGUACUCGGCUACGAACCGAGCGGUCGGAGGUUCGAAUCCUCCCGGAUGCACCA
This 59-nucleotide transfer RNA is filed under the name Salmonella enterica subsp. enterica serovar Newport. RNAcentral describes it as "tRNA-Ser". It matches the Rfam family "tRNA", at positions 17 to 71 of the family's 71-position model. From Rfam's summary of the family: Transfer RNA (tRNA) molecules are approximately 80 nucleotides in length. Their secondary structure includes four short double-helical elements and three loops (D, anti-codon, and T loops). RNAcentral also lists the same sequence under 3 other names. Lineage: Bacteria; Pseudomonadati; Pseudomonadota; Gammaproteobacteria; Enterobacterales; Enterobacteriaceae. The record is from RNAcentral.